UAACUGAAGAGUUUGAUCCUGGCUCAGAUUGAACGCUGGCGGCGUGCCUAACACAUGCAAGUCGAGCGGUAACAGGUGUAGCAAUACAUGCUGACGAGCGGC
This 102-nucleotide ribosomal RNA is filed under the name Pseudomonadota bacterium. Its description in RNAcentral is "partial 16S ribosomal RNA". It matches the Rfam family "Bacterial small subunit ribosomal RNA", at positions 1 to 99 of the family's 1533-position model. The record is from RNAcentral. Lineage: Bacteria; Pseudomonadati; Pseudomonadota. RNAcentral also lists the same sequence under 1 other name.